UACAGAGGGGGCAAGCGUUGUUCGGAAUUACUGGGCGUAAAGGGCGCGUAGGCGGCCCGCUAAGUCGAACGUGAAAUCCCCGAGCUCAACUCGGGAACUGCGUCCGAUACUGGCGGGCUUGAAUCCGGGAGAGGGAUGCGGAAUUCCAGGUGUAGCGGUGAAAUGCGUAGAUAUCUGGAGGAACACCGGUGGCGAAGGCGGCAUCCUGGACCGACACUGACACUGAGGAGCGAAAGCCAGGGGAGCAAACGGG
This 253-nucleotide ribosomal RNA is filed under the name uncultured bacterium. RNAcentral describes it as "partial 16S ribosomal RNA". It matches the Rfam family "Bacterial small subunit ribosomal RNA", at positions 524 to 776 of the family's 1533-position model. The record is from RNAcentral.